GCUAUGCCCGAUCUCGUCUGAUCUCGGAAGUUAAGCAGAGUCGGGCCUGGUUAGUACUUGGAUGGGAGACCGCCUGGGAAUACCAGGUGCGGUAAGCUU
This 99-nucleotide ribosomal RNA is filed under the name diploid Xenocypris davidi x Culter alburnus. Lineage: Eukaryota; Metazoa; Chordata; Actinopteri; Cypriniformes. The record is from RNAcentral.